This 253-nucleotide ribosomal RNA is filed under the name uncultured bacterium. Its description in RNAcentral is "partial 16S ribosomal RNA". It matches the Rfam family "Bacterial small subunit ribosomal RNA", at positions 524 to 776 of the family's 1533-position model. The record is from RNAcentral.
UACGUAGGGUGCUAGCGUUGUCCGGAUUUAUUGGGCGUAAAGAGCUCGUAGGCGGUCUGUCGCGUCGGCUGUGAAAACCCGGGGCUCAACCCCGGGCCUGCAGUCGAUACGGGCAGACUAGAGUGUGGUAGGGGAGACUGGAAUUCCUGGUGUAGCGGUGGAAUGCGCAGAUAUCAGGAGGAACACCGGUGGCGAAGGCGGGUCUCUGGGCCAUAACUGACGCUGAGGAGCGAAAGCGUGGGGAGCGAACAGG